AGGUGAGGUAGAGGCGCGGAGGCAAUGAGUAGGCUUUGGGAGAACGACAUCGAUGAUCGAAGCUAAAAGGUAAAUCCGCCGAAGUGAAAGAGAACUGUCACAUUCGCUUUUGCUGGGACAGCAUUGAAAAAAUGUUGAACUGUCACGAUGCAAGUCAUCGUGGAGAACUACUACUGAA
RNAcentral lists this non-coding RNA (178 nucleotides) under Bacillus sp. (in: firmicutes). Its description in RNAcentral is "Bacillus sp. Lysine sequence". It matches the Rfam family "Lysine riboswitch aptamer". From Rfam's summary of the family: Riboswitches are metabolite binding domains within certain messenger RNAs that serve as precision sensors for their corresponding targets. Allosteric rearrangement of mRNA structure is mediated by ligand binding, and this results in modulation of gene expression. This family includes riboswitches that sense lysine in a number of genes involved in lysine metabolism, including lysC. Lineage: Bacteria; Bacillati; Bacillota; Bacilli; Caryophanales; Bacillaceae. The record is from RNAcentral.